This 238-nucleotide ribosomal RNA is filed under the name uncultured bacterium. RNAcentral's name for it is "partial 16S ribosomal RNA". It matches the Rfam family "Bacterial small subunit ribosomal RNA", at positions 96 to 334 of the family's 1533-position model. The record is from RNAcentral.
CGGCGGACGGGUGAGUAACGCGUAGGCAACCUGCCCUUUGCAGAGGGAUAGCCUCGGGAAACCGGGAUUAAAACCUCAUGACACCUCUUAAAGACAUCUUUGAGAGGUCAAAGAUUUAUCGGCAGAGGAUGGGCCUGCGUCUGAUUAGCUAGUUGGUGGGGUAACGGCCUACCAAGGCGACGAUCAGUAGCCGACCUGAGAGGGUGAUCGGCCACAUUGGAACUGAGACACGGUCCAA